CUUCAGUGAUGAUACGAUGACGAGACAGAACAGGACUCAAUCUGUUUCUGAGGGUUGCUGGUUCAGGUCCACGUUCUGUGGUCCUGCUCCAGCUCCUCAGAUCAGGGAGUCCUCUUCAUGUGAAGACAAAAGAGGCAUUUGUCUGAGAAGG
Labrus bergylta (ballan wrasse) is the source of this 151-nucleotide small nucleolar RNA. NCBI's taxonomy places the organism in Eukaryota, Metazoa, Chordata, Actinopteri, Labriformes, Labridae. The record is from Ensembl.